This is an unclassified non-coding RNA of 732 nucleotides. The stretch from base 311 to 466 matches the Rfam family "5.8S ribosomal RNA".
UCCACUGAACCUUAUCAUUUAGAGGAAGGAGAAGUCGUAACAAGGUUUCCGUAGGUGAACCUGCGGAAGGAUCAUUGUCGAUGCCUCGCAAUCAACACGACCCGCGAAUUUGUUUGACUACUGGGGCGGCUCAGGCGUGUAACUCCUGGUCACCCUCGUCGGGAGGCGCCCGCCCCGUGCGGUUGCCUCCUGGCCAAACAACAAACCCCGGCGCUACAUGCGCCAAGGAACACCGAAUUGUUUAGUGCGCUCCCGCCGGCCCGGAGACGGUGCUCGUGCGGCGGGCGUCGCGACAUAUGUUAUCCAAAAUGACUCUCGGCAACGGAUAUCUCGGCUCUUGCAUCGAUGAAGAACGUAGCGAAAUGCGAUACUUGGUGUGAAUUGCAGAAUCCCGUGAACCAUCGAGUCUUUGAACGCAAGUUGCGCCCGAAGCCAUUAGGCUGAGGGCACGCCUGCCUGGGUGUCACACAUCGUUGCCCCAACGCCAUUUCCUCUUGCUAGGUCUUGGGCGGGGCGAAUGUUGGCCUCCCGUGAGCCUCGUCUCGCGGUUGGCUGAAAAUACUGAGUUCGCGGUGGAGAGCACCACGAUAGACGGUGGCUGAGUCGAAGCUCGAGACCAAUCGUGCGCGUCUCUUCGCUGGGUUCGGACUCUGUGACCCACGGGGCAUCAUUCGAUCGCCCAUAACGGGACCUCAGGUCAGGCGGGGCUACCCGCUGAGUUUAAGCAUAUCA